UACGAAGGGUGCAAGCGUUACUCGGAAUCACUGGGCGUAAAGGGCGCGUAGGUGGCCUGAUAAGGGUGUGGUGAAAGUCCGGGGGCUCAACCCCCGGAUCUGCCGUGCCGACUGUUGGGGCUGGAGUACUGUAGGGGCAGGCGGAAUUCCGGGUGUAGCGGUGGAAUGCGUAGAGAUCCGGAGAACACCGGUGGCGAAGGCGGCCUGCUGGGCUAUGGCUGACACUGAGGCGCGACAGCGUGGGGAGCAAACAGG
RNAcentral lists this ribosomal RNA (255 nucleotides) under uncultured bacterium. Its description in RNAcentral is "partial 16S ribosomal RNA". It matches the Rfam family "Bacterial small subunit ribosomal RNA", at positions 524 to 776 of the family's 1533-position model. The record is from RNAcentral.